CACUCUAAGGAAGACUGCCGGUGACAAACCGGAGGAAGGUGGGGAGUGACGUCAAGUACAUCAUGGCCCUUACGGCCUGGGCUACACACGUGCUACAAUGGUCGGUACAAAGGGUUGCCAAGCCGCGAGGUGGAGCUAAUCCCAUAAAACCGAUCGUAGUCCGGAUCGCAGUCUGCAACUCGACUGCGUGAAGUCGGAAUCGCUAGUAAUCGUGAAUCAGAAUGUCACGGUGAAUACGUUCCCGGGCCUU
RNAcentral lists this ribosomal RNA (250 nucleotides) under uncultured Pseudomonas sp. RNAcentral's name for it is "partial 16S ribosomal RNA". It matches the Rfam family "Bacterial small subunit ribosomal RNA", at positions 1136 to 1382 of the family's 1533-position model. The record is from RNAcentral. Lineage: Bacteria; Pseudomonadati; Pseudomonadota; Gammaproteobacteria; Pseudomonadales; Pseudomonadaceae.